GUCCCAGUAGCUAACAUUUUAAAGCAUUGGCCUUGUAAACCAAAGACGGGUUUAACCCCUGGGUCA
This 66-nucleotide transfer RNA is filed under the name Chamaeleo calcaricarens (Awash chameleon). RNAcentral describes it as "tRNA-Thr". It matches the Rfam family "tRNA". From Rfam's summary of the family: Transfer RNA (tRNA) molecules are approximately 80 nucleotides in length. The record is from RNAcentral. Lineage: Eukaryota; Metazoa; Chordata; Lepidosauria; Squamata; Chamaeleonidae.